UAGGUGGCAAGCGUUAUCCGGAUUUAUUGGGUGUAAAGGGCGUGUAGGCGGGAGCGCAAGUCAGAUGUGAAAACUCAGGGCUCAACCCUGAGCCUGCAUUUGAAACUGUGUUUCUUGAGUGCUGGAGGGGCAAUCGGAAUUCCGUGUGUAGCGGUGAAAUGCGUAGAUAUACGGAGGAACACCAGUGGCGAAGGCGGAUUGCUGGACAGUAACUGACGCUGAGGCGCGAAAGCGUGGGGAGCAAA
RNAcentral lists this ribosomal RNA (245 nucleotides) under uncultured bacterium. Its description in RNAcentral is "partial 16S ribosomal RNA". It matches the Rfam family "Bacterial small subunit ribosomal RNA", at positions 528 to 772 of the family's 1533-position model. The record is from RNAcentral.